Molecule: ribosomal RNA, 587 nt
Filed under: Halecium sibogae marocanum
Lineage: Eukaryota; Metazoa; Cnidaria; Hydrozoa; Leptothecata; Haleciidae
Description: partial 16S ribosomal RNA
Rfam family: Bacterial large subunit ribosomal RNA
Source: RNAcentral
UUACCAAAAACAUAGCCCUAGUAGAGUAUCUAAGGUGUAACCUGCCCAAUGAUUUUAAUUUAAAAUAAGUAUAUAUUAUUUAAUAGAAUUUAAAGGACGCGGUAACCUUGACCGUGAUAAUGUAGCAUAAUCAUUCGCCAUUUAAUUGAUGGAUAGUAUGAAUGGUUGAACGAAUAUUCCACUGUCUUAAAAAGAAGUAAAUAAAAAAUUAAAAUAAUAGUUAAGAUGCUAUUUAAAAUUGUAAGACGAAAAGACCCUAUAGAGCUUAACUAUAGUUUUCCUUUGGUUAAUAAUAAAAUCAUUUAAUUUAUAAGGAAAAUUGGUAGUUUAGUUGGGGCGACUAUCUUCUAAAAAUAACGAAGAUAAACAAAAUUAAUAAAAUAAUUUAUUGUAUAAUCCAUAAAUUUAACAAUUACGAAAGUAGGUUAUAAUGACCCGUUAUAUUGUUAUAAUACAAGUAACGAUCAAUAAAUAAAAGCUACCUUAGGGAUAACAGGAUAAUUUUAUCUUAGAGAUCAUAUCGAAGAUAAAGUUUGUCACCUCUAUGUUGAAUUAAGAUAUCCUGAUAAUGCAGAAGACAAAGGUAG